CUGCCAAUGAAGUUUGAAUGGCUGCAGUAUUUUGACUGUGCUAAGGUAGCAUAAUAAUUUGCUUUUUAAUUGGUUGCUGGAAUGAAUGAUUUACUAAUUUGUGGUUGGUCUUAUAAAUUAGUUAAUAAUUUGUGUGGCAAGUAAGAACACUUGUAUAAAAUAAUGGGACGAUAAGACCCUAAAAGUUUUAUAUGAAAUAGGUUAUUUAAUGUGAAUUAUAUAUUUAGCUGGGGUAGUGAUUUAGAAAAAAUCUUUAUAAAGUAAAACUUAAAUGAAGGUUUGUGAUCUUUUAUAUAAAGAUAAAUAGAGAAAAUUACUUUAGGGAUAACAGCAUAAUAGUUUUAGGGAGAUCGUAUUUAUAAAACUGAUUGUGACCUCGAUGUUGAAUUAAAAAUUCUAUAUAGAGCAGAAGAGAUAAAAGAGGGUUUGUUCAACCUUUAAAUUUUUACGUGAUCUGAGU
RNAcentral lists this ribosomal RNA (460 nucleotides) under Chydaekata acuminata. RNAcentral describes it as "partial 16S ribosomal RNA". Lineage: Eukaryota; Metazoa; Arthropoda; Malacostraca; Amphipoda; Paramelitidae. The record is from RNAcentral.